Molecule: ribosomal RNA, 199 nt
Filed under: uncultured bacterium
Lineage: Bacteria
Description: partial 16S ribosomal RNA
Rfam family: Bacterial small subunit ribosomal RNA
Source: RNAcentral
UACGUUCGGAUUGUAGGCUGCAACUCGCCUACAUGAAGCUGGAAUUGCUAGUAAUCACAGGUCAGCAUACUGUGGUGAAUACGUUCCCGGGCCUUGUACACACCACCCGUCACACCAUGAGAGUUGAGAAUACCCGAAGUCCAUGUCAAAGUGGCCGAAGGUAGGCUUGAUGAUUGGGGUGAAGUCGUAACAAGGUAAC